RNAcentral lists this ribosomal RNA (419 nucleotides) under bacterium. RNAcentral describes it as "partial 16S ribosomal RNA". It matches the Rfam family "Bacterial small subunit ribosomal RNA", at positions 355 to 776 of the family's 1533-position model. The record is from RNAcentral.
UGUGGGAUAUUGCACAAUGGGCGAAAGCCUGAUGCAGCGACGCCGCGUGGGGGAUGAAGGCCUUCGGGUGGUAAACUUCGUUUGCUCUGAACAAGGCGCACCAUGGGGUGUGUUGAGUGUAGGGGUUGAUUAGCGCCGGCUAACUACGUGCCAGCAGCCGCGGUAAUACGUAGGGCGCGAGCGUUGUCCGGAAUUAUUGGGCGUAAAGGGCUUGGAGGUGGCUGGUUGAGUUUGUUGUGAAAGCUCAUGGCUUAACUGUGGGUUUGCGUUGGGUACGGGCUGGCUUGAGGUCCGUAGGGGAGGCUGGAAUUCCUGGUGUAGCGGUGGAAUGCGCAGAUAUCAGGAGGAAUACCGGUGGCGAAGGCGGGUCUCUGGGCUGUUACUGACACUGAGGAGCGAAAGCAUGGGGAGCGAACAGG